Molecule: ribosomal RNA, 1019 nt
Filed under: Kudoa lateolabracis
Lineage: Eukaryota; Metazoa; Cnidaria; Myxozoa; Multivalvulida; Kudoidae
Description: partial large subunit ribosomal RNA
Source: RNAcentral
ACCAGUUUCUUUUAGCCCUUUGGGGCUACAAUUCAUAUUCCUUGGCGAAAGCUUUCAUUUCUAGUAGCUUGAGCGAUUCCAAGUUGAGAAAUUGCCCAGGAUAAUUCUUUCCCUAGGGAAUGAGGUUCCAACAAGACCACGGUUCUCUGGGCCCUUGUUGGUUUCCAGGAGAGCUCUCCUGGAGUUUGCGAAUAAAGCUUAGAAGGUUUUUGCUUUUUACGCUGGGCGUAAAAUGCCUUCUUAUGAUAAGCUUUUUAGGAAAUCCUAAGCAAACAGACCAGGUUUUCUGCGAACAGGAAAAACAUUCCUUUUUUGUAUUAUGUGUCCAACAGGGCUAGAGUGGAAGUGGGAUUGUUUUUCUGCACUUUUUCCGUAAGGGAAAGGGUGUACUAGGCGUAGCCUAGUGGAAUACCAGGUGACAGGAAAAUCCUGUCGAAGGCUUGAAGACAGCUAGAGCCUCGUCUUAGUCCUGGAUUUUCCUUACACAAUGCGUUCCUCCAUCUUAGCAGAACUUACCAGGUUUCCUGGUAAAGAGAAGGUUGGAUGGAGUAACGUACUUGUGUCAUUUCUUAAUCUUCCUUUCCUGAUAGAGGCUAGCUGUCCCUGUUUACAAAGGCUACCCGGGCCCAUCGUGCUCUCCAGUGAACUUGGCAAGAACUGGCACACCUGUUUUCUAAAAACAUAGGUGUUAGAAAGUCUUAGUGCCUUGUACUGCCAAAGUUACCUACUGGCAGCAGUAUCUUGACUGUGCCAAUGUACCUUAAUUUUCUGUUGUUUCAUUGGCAACCAGGGAAGUAUACAUGAUGUCAGUCCUCUACUGGUGAGCCCUCGCGAAACAAUAGCCAUGAUGAACAUAGCAUGGGUAGUUUGAGUGAGGAGAAGGCCCUGAUACCUUGAAUGAACUCUGAAGAGGUUUGGAUCACCUCCCAGCCAACAUUUUACCUGGGAUGAGGACCUACAGCAUGUAGGGCAAUAUCUCCUUUUCUUCUUUGGCUGUGGAAUCUUCUGGAUCUGCUACA